UGCUUGGCGGCGUCCUACUCUCACAGGGGGAAACCCCCGACUACCAUCGGCGCUGAAGAGCUUAACUUCCGUGUUCGGUAUGGGAACGGGUGUGACCUCUUCGCUAUCGCCACCA
Molecule: ribosomal RNA, 115 nt
Filed under: Bacillus sp. LM 4-2
Lineage: Bacteria; Bacillati; Bacillota; Bacilli; Caryophanales; Bacillaceae
Source: RNAcentral